ACUCCUACGGGAGGCAGCAGUAGGAAUUUCCGCAAUGGACGAAGUCUGACGGAGCAAUGCCGCGUGAGUGAUGAAGGUUUCGAAUCGUAAAGCUCUGUUGUAAGGGAAGAAUAGCAGUAGUAGGAAAUGACUACUGUGUGACGGUACCUUACCAGAAGCCACGGCUAACUACGUGCCAGCAGCCGCGGUAAUACGUAGGUGGCAAGCGUUAUCCGGAAUUAUUGGGCGUAAAGCGCAUGUAGGCGGCUCUUUAAGUCUGAUGUGAAAGCCUGUGGCUCAACCACAGAAUUGCAUUGGAUACUGGAGAGCUAGAAUCUUGGAGAGGUAA
RNAcentral lists this ribosomal RNA (328 nucleotides) under uncultured bacterium. RNAcentral's name for it is "bacterial SSU rRNA". It matches the Rfam family "Bacterial small subunit ribosomal RNA", at positions 335 to 660 of the family's 1533-position model. The record is from RNAcentral.